RNAcentral lists this ribosomal RNA (301 nucleotides) under uncultured bacterium. Its description in RNAcentral is "partial 16S ribosomal RNA". It matches the Rfam family "Bacterial small subunit ribosomal RNA", at positions 509 to 808 of the family's 1533-position model. The record is from RNAcentral.
CAGUAGCCGCGGGAACACGAAGGGUGCAAGCGUUACUCGGAAUUACUGGGCGUAAAGCGUGCGUAGGUGGUGGUUUAAGUCCGUUGUGAAAGCCCUGGGCUCAACCUGGGAAUUGCAGUGGAUACUGGGUCACUAGAGUGUGGUAGAGGAUAGUGGAAUUUCCGGUGUAGCAGUGAAAUGCGUAGAGAUCGGAAGGAACAUCUGUGGCGAAGGCGACUAUCUGGGCCAACACUGACACUGAGGCACGAAAGCGUGGGGAGCAAACAGGAUUAGAUACCCCAUAGUCCCUGUCUCUUAUACA